This is a long non-coding RNA of Oncorhynchus keta (chum salmon), 1096 nucleotides long. RefSeq lists it as uncharacterized. The transcript has 4 exons. The record is from RefSeq and is a predicted model, not a curated record. Lineage: Eukaryota; Metazoa; Chordata; Actinopteri; Salmoniformes; Salmonidae.
UCCACUUCAGUGUAGAUGAAGGGGAGGAGACGGGUUAAAGAAGGAUUUAAAAGCCUUGAGACAAUUGAGACAUGGAUUGUGUAUAUGUGCCAUUCAGAGGGUGAAUGGGUAAGACAAUAUAUUGAAGUGCCUUUGAACAGGGUAUGGUAGUAGGUGCCUUUGAACAGGGUAUGGUAGUAGGUGCCUUUGAACAGGGUGUGGUAGUAGGUGCCUUUGAACAGGGUGUGGUAGUAGGUGCCUUUGAACCGGGUGUGGCAGUAGGUGCCUUUGAACCGGGUAUGGUAGUAGGUGCCUUUGAACAGGGUGUGGCAGUAGGUGCCUUUGAACCGGGUGUGGCAGUAGGUGCCUUUGAACCGGGUGUGGCAGUAGGUGCCUUUGAACCGGGUGUGGCAGUAGGUGCCUUUGAACCGGGUGUGGCAGUAGGUGCCUUUGAACCGGGUGUGGCAGUAGGUGCCUUUGAACAGGGUGUGGUAGUAGGUGCCCUGGUUUGUGUAGAGAACUGCACCGUUGCUGGGUUUUUCAAGCUCAACAGCUCCUGGUGUUUAGACUAGUCCACCACCCAAAGGACAUCAGCCAACUGGACACGAAUGAACUGUGGGAAGCGUUGGAGUCAACAUGGCCCAACAUCCCUGUAGGACGCUUUCGACACCUUGUAGAGUCCGUGCCCCGAAGAAUUGAGGUUCUGAAGGCAAAAGGAUGGGGGGGAUCAUGGCUUUACUAGAGCCCAGAGUUAUCCCUGACUAGAGCCCAGAGUUAUCCCUGACUAGAGCCCAGAGUUAUCCCUGACUAGAGCCCAGAGUUAUCCCUGACUAGAGCCCAGAGUUGUCCCUGACUAGAGCCCAGAGUUGUCCCUGACUAGAGCCCAGAGUUGUCCCUGACUAGAGCCCAGAGUUGUCCCUGACUAGAGCCCAGAGUUGUCCCGGACCAGAACUCCUGGCCCUGCAUAUUCUCACACCUAGAGAGCAUAGUGUUCUCCAUCAGCCUUGUCACUGUUUAUUGACAACCUCGACCUGAAACACCAUUAUUAUUAUUAUUAAUGUUGCUAGACCUCAACAUUGUCACUAAGGACGUGGUCUCACAUGGACGGGUUGACUUA